RNAcentral lists this long non-coding RNA (758 nucleotides) under Chinchilla lanigera (long-tailed chinchilla). RNAcentral's name for it is "lncRNA (ENSCLAG00000026553.1)". The record is from RNAcentral. Lineage: Eukaryota; Metazoa; Chordata; Mammalia; Rodentia; Chinchillidae.
UGCAGACUCUCAAACUCAUGCUCCGGGGUGACCCGAGGCCUGGCGCGCACGCCCUUGUACACACACACGGGUGGUAGCUGAGAGUUACGCCUAAGCCCUGCUCAGUAUCACCUUGUCUGGAAGAGUCCUGCUGGCAACUGAAGGGCUCACGCAAGGACACUGGACCUUGCACCCACUCUGAUGUCUGCCUGGCAUGGAGGUGGGCCCUCAGUGGCUGUCUGUCUGGACUUGUUUGUUUUGAAUGACUGAUCAUUGGGUGAUGAAGAGAAAGGUUCUGGAAAUGAAUGUGACUUCUUCCUGCAAAAUCUCACCGCUGAAGGGUCUGCCCCACAGCCAUGCAUCCAGUCUUCGGGACAGCUCAGAGAAGAAGCAUGAUUGUGUCCACAAUACAGAUGUGAAAACAGAAGCCUGGGAACCAACUCAGCACCACAGCACAGAGGUCCUCUGUCCUUUUCUUUACAUCCCAAGAAGUGCUGUCUCCAACAUGGUAGAGACGGUGACCUGCAAUAGGACACACCUCCAGCUUCACAGCCCUCCCGGCAGAUGGGCAAGACAGAGCCUGCAAUCAGGCUCCAGUGCGGAAGAUCACAUUGUGUAGAAGAUUCCUGGCCCCUUUUAAAACCUCCCACCAGAAUCCUAGAGCCAGAGGGGCAACAAGCAAAGGUGGAAAGUGCUGUGUGCACUAAACUGCAUGCCAAUCAGGUAGCUCAGCUGCAAGCAGCUAGAGCUAAUUCUGAUCAUUAAAGCAGAACAGAAAU